AGUGUACGCUGGCGGUAGGCCUAACACAUGCAAGUCGAACGGCAGCACAGUAAGAGCUUGCUCUUACGGGUGGCGAGUGGCGGACGGGUGAGGAAUACAUCGGAAUCUACUUUUUCGUGGGGGAUAACGUAGGGAAACUUACGCUAAUACCGCAUACGACCUACGGGUGAAAGCAGGGGAUCUUCGGACCUUGCGCGACUGAAUGAGCCGAUGUCGGAUUAGCUAGUUGGCGGGGUAAAGGCCCACCAAGGCGACGAUCCGUAGCUGGUCUGAGAGGAUGAUCAGCCACACUGGAACUGAGACACGGUCCAGACUCCUACGGGAGGCAGCAGUGGGGAAUAUUGGACAAUGGGCGCAAGCCUGAUCCAGCCAUACCGCGUGGGUGAAGAAGGCCUUCGGGUUGUAAAGCCCUUUUGUUGGGAAAGAAAAGCAGCAGGUUAAUACCCCGCUGUUCUGACGGUACCCAAAGAAUAAGCACCGGCUAACUUCGUG
Molecule: ribosomal RNA, 492 nt
Filed under: uncultured bacterium
Lineage: Bacteria
Description: partial 16S ribosomal RNA
Rfam family: Bacterial small subunit ribosomal RNA
Source: RNAcentral